RNAcentral lists this ribosomal RNA (1370 nucleotides) under metagenome. RNAcentral's name for it is "SSU rRNA". It matches the Rfam family "Eukaryotic small subunit ribosomal RNA", at positions 27 to 1476 of the family's 1831-position model. The record is from RNAcentral.
AUUGCUUAUCUUGGAGAUUAAGCCAUGCAUGUCUAAGUUUAAGUUAUAUAAGGCGAAACUGCGAAUGGCUCAUUAAAACAAUUAUAGUAUACUUGAUAAUGUUUUUACAUGGAUAACCGUGGGAAACUAGAGCUAAUACAUGCUUAAGACCGUAAUGGUAGAAUUUAUUAGCUUUGACCUUGGGCUCUGCCUAAGUGAGGAAUCAUAAUAACUGAUCGGAGCGCUACAGAGUAGCGCUAAAUCUUUCUAGUUUUUGCCCUAUCAUGCUUUCGAUGGUAGUGUAUUGGACUACCAUGGCUUUCACGGGUAACGGAGAAUUGGGGUUCGAUUCCGGAGAAGGAGCCUGAGAAACGGCUACUACACCUACGGGAGAGCAGCAGGCGCGUAAAUUACCCAAUCCUAACUCAGGGAGGUAGUUACAAGAAAUAGUUUACCGGAAAUUUACAUUUCUAGUUUUGCAAUGGAUGUGGUUUAAAUCCUUUAUUGAAAUCUAUUGGAGGGCAAGUCUGGUGCCAGCAGCCGCGGUAAUNCGGNAGNUCCAAUAGCGUAUGUUAAUGUUGUUGAAUUUAAAAAGCUCGUAGUUGAAUUUCUGGCCAGAAGGACGACGCUCAGGCUGACUCCAUCUAGGUCAUCCGCUCAUGAUAUAGUUGAAUCUUUCACCAGUUUCUCUAAGGAUUGGGCAUUUUACCUUGAAGAAAUUAAAGUGUUUCAGGCAGGCUUUCGCUUGAAUACACCAGCAUGGAAUAAUGGAAUAGGACUAGGUCUAUUUUCUUGGUCAAUUGACUUAGUAAUGAUUAACAGGAACAGUUGGGGGCGUUUGUACUUAGUAGUCAGAGGUGAAAUUCUUCGAUUUACUAAAGACACACUAAUGCGAAAGCAUUCGCCAAGGAUGUUUUCAUUAAUCAAGAACGAAAGCGCGGGGAUCCAAAACGAUUAGAUACCGUUGUAGUCCGCUGCUAUAAACUAUGCCGACUAGGGAUUGGAUGGGCCCGAAGCCCAUUCAGCACCUAAUGAGAAAUCAAAGUUUUUGGGUUAUUGGGGAAGUAUGGUCACAAGGCUGAAACUUAAAGGAAUUGACGGAAGGGCACACCAGAAGUGGAGCCUGCGGCUUAAUUUGAUUCAACACGGGAAAACUUACCAGGACAAGACUUCUAGAGGAUUGACAGAUUGAGAGGCCUUUCUUGAUUUGAAGGGUGGUGGUGCAUGGCCGUUCUUAGUUGGUGGAGUGAUUUGUCAGGUUAAUUCCCUUAACGAACGAGACCUUAGCCUGCUAAAUAGCAGCGGUUACUCUCUAGCCGUAUGCUUCUUAGAGGGACUAUUACCAAAAGUAAUGGAAGUUUGAGGCAAUAACAGGUCCGUGAUGCCCUUAG